CCAGAGAUGGUCGCCCCCUUGUGGUCGGUGUACAGGUGGUGCAUGGUUGUCGUCAGCUCGUGUCGUGAGAUGUUGGGUUAAGUCCCGCAACGAGCGCAACCCUCGCUCUAUGUUGCCAGCGCGUUAUGGCGGGGACUCAUAGGAGACUGCCGGGGUCAACUCGGAGGAAGGUGGGGAUGACGUCAAAUCAUCAUGCCCCUUAUGUCCUGGGCUUCACGCAUGCUACAAUGGCCGGUACAAAGGGCUGCGAUACCGUAAGGUGGAGCGAAUCCCAAAAAGCCGGUCUCAGUUCGGAUUGAGGUCUGCAACUCGACCUCAUGAAGUUGGAAUCGCUAGUAAUCGUGGAUCAGCAUGCCACGGUGAAUACGUUCCCGGGUCUUGUACACACCGAAAUG
RNAcentral lists this ribosomal RNA (395 nucleotides) under uncultured bacterium. RNAcentral's name for it is "bacterial SSU rRNA". It matches the Rfam family "Bacterial small subunit ribosomal RNA", at positions 1000 to 1397 of the family's 1533-position model. The record is from RNAcentral.